UGCGUAGGUGGCCUUUUAAGUUGGAUGUGAAAUACCCGGGCUUAACUUGGGGGUGCAUCUAAUACUGGAGGGCUAGAGUGCAGGAGAGGAAAGCGGAAUUCCUAGUGUAGCGGUGAAAUGCGUAGAUAUUAGGAGGAACACCAGCGGCGAAGGCGGCUUUCUGGACUGUAACUGACACUGAGGCACGAAAGCGUGGGGAGCAAACA
This 206-nucleotide ribosomal RNA is filed under the name uncultured Bacillota bacterium. RNAcentral describes it as "uncultured Firmicutes bacterium partial 16S ribosomal RNA". It matches the Rfam family "Bacterial small subunit ribosomal RNA", at positions 568 to 774 of the family's 1533-position model. The record is from RNAcentral. Lineage: Bacteria; Bacillati; Bacillota.